This is a non-coding RNA of Ictidomys tridecemlineatus (thirteen-lined ground squirrel), 73 nucleotides long. The record is from Rfam. Lineage: Eukaryota; Metazoa; Chordata; Mammalia; Rodentia; Sciuridae.
UGGGAUGUGGCUCAAUGAUAGAGUAUUUGUCUAAGCAUGCAAAAGGCCCUGGGUUCCAUGCCCAGUAUCACAU